This 388-nucleotide ribosomal RNA is filed under the name uncultured Comamonadaceae bacterium. RNAcentral describes it as "bacterial SSU rRNA". It matches the Rfam family "Bacterial small subunit ribosomal RNA", at positions 991 to 1378 of the family's 1533-position model. The record is from RNAcentral. Lineage: Bacteria; Pseudomonadati; Pseudomonadota; Betaproteobacteria; Burkholderiales; Comamonadaceae.
AGGAAUCCUAAAGAGAUUUGGAGUGCUCGAAAGAGAACCUGCACACAGGUGCUGCAUGGCUGUCGUCAGCUCGUGUCGUGAGAUGUUGGGUUAAGUCCCGCAACGAGCGCAACCCUUGCCAUUAGUUGCUACGAAAGGGGCACUCUAAUGGGACUGCCGGUGACAAACCGGAGGAAGGUGGGGAUGACGUCAAGUCCUCAUGGCCCUUAUAGGUGGGGCUACACACGUCAUACAAUGGCCGGUACAGAGGGUAGCCAACCCGCGAGGGGGAGCCAAUCCCACAAAGCCGGUCGUAGUCCGGAUCGCAGUCUGCAACUCGACUGCGUGAAGUCGGAAUCGCUAGUAAUCGCGGAUCAGCAUGUCGCGGUGAAUACGUUCCCGAGGUCUU